CAAAUUAUGAUAAUUCUUUGUUAUUUAUGUAUGGAAUUUAUUGGGAGGAAAUGCAGGAAAGAAUUCAUUUACGUGGUUUGGUCCAAGACCAAGGGUGAACAUUACGGACCCUGAAAAAAUAAGAGAAAUACUUAACAAAUUUAAUGACUUCCAGAAGAUACGUACCAAUCCUCUGCUUAAUUUGCUUGUAAGCGGCCUUGUUAACCUCGAAGGAGACCGAUGGAGCAAGCGUAGAAAAAUCAUAAACCCUGCAUUUCAUCAAGAUAAGUUGAAGGUAUAGAAUAGUGAUGGGUAAUCAGACUUUACAGAAAACAUCAUACUUAAACCAAUGCUUUUCUGAUUUAGAAAUAAUUGGAUGCAGAAUAUGUUGCCAGCAUUUUAUCAAAGUUGUAGUGACAUGUUAAGCAAAUGGGAGAAGAUGGUGUGUACAGAAGGAUACAGUGAGUUAGAUGUGAGGCCUUAUCUCGUAGAUUUGACAAGAGAUGUGAUUUCCCGAUCUGCUUUUGGAAGCAGCUUCGAAGAAGGCAAACGAAUUUUCCAAUUACUAGAGGACCAACUCGUUCUCACAAUCAAAUUAAUACAAACUGUUUACAUUCCAGGAUGGAGGUAACCGUCAACUUAAUUUACUUGAAAAAGGUUGCAAAUCUUGGAAUUGGCUAAAUUCGUGUUUGUUUUCUUGAAGGUUUUUGCCAACGAAGACAAACAGGGAGAUGAAGAUGAAACACAGAGACAUAAAAGAGUCGCUUAGGGAAAUGAUAAAGAGAAGGGAGAAGGCAAUUAAAGCAGGGGAAGAGAGCAAUGAGGACUUGUUGGACAUACUUGUGGAAUCCAAUAUCAGAGAAAUGGAAGCAAAGAAUAUGGGGAUGAGCAUUGAGGAUGUGAUUGAGGAAUGCAAGCUGUUUUACUUUGCUGGCCAAGAGACCACUUCGGUCUUACUGGUGUGGACUAUGGUUUUAUUAGCAAGGUAUCCCGAUUGGCAAAGUAAAGCAAGAGAGGAGGUUUUGCAUGUUUUGGGUGACAAUAAACCUGAUGCUGAUGGCCUUAAUCGUCUCAAAGUUGUAAGUCCCUAGCAUGUCUUUUGAAGGUCCGAUCAAUGAGGUCGACAACUCAAAAACUUUGUUUCUUUUUUCGCUAAUUCUACAGGUAACGAUGAUAUUGUACGAGGUUCUAAGGCUGUACCCACCGGUGGUUGAGCUAGGACGUUCCGUUCCAAAAGAAAUAAAACUGGGGAAUUUGUUGUUACCAGUAGGAACAGAAGUUUCGGUUCCGAUCCUGCAGAUCCACCAUGACAAAGAUCUUUGGGGUAACGACGCACGGGAAUUUAAGCCAGAGCGGUUCGCGGAAGGGGUUUCCAAAGCAACAAAGAGUCAAGUCACGUUUCUGCCAUUCGGAUGGGGUCCUAGGAUCUGUAUUGGCCAAAAUUUUGCUUUGAUGGAAGCCAAAAUGGCGAUGGCUAUGAUUCUCCAACGCUUCUGGUUCGAGCUUUCCCCUUCCUAUGCUCACUCUCCUUACAGCAGGGGAACUCUUCGUCCACAGCAUGGUGCACAGAUAAUUUUACAUAAACUUGGCUGUAAUUGAAUUGUUAUGUAAACAAAUCUUUGUGAAAACAUAGCGUUUUAGUGUAUCGUCAAAGUCCGGUGUCUGUAAUGGUACAAAUUCGAUGCAUGAAUAGUAAAUUUUGAGAUGUUUGGUGAAGUCCGAAAUAAUAUGCAGAAAUUGAGCGUCUAUGGUGGACAUAGUUGAGGGACUAAUGUGGUAAUUAUCAAUCAAAUAAUUCGGUACAAAGACUUGUAUGGAAAUUAAAGCAGGGGGAGUUGAAAAUGACUACUCUGCUUUGGGCAUCAAUUUAGAAAGAUUUAAAGUACAACUGUGUUAUCAGUUAAGGGAUUUGUUUUAAAGAGGGAAUGACAAUUAAACCUCAUGGUUUAUUUGUGCAAGGGAACCGAUGAUGGGAUGAUUAUUCUUAGUGGUAAAAAAAACCAUUAUGGAGGUUAUUACACUUGUUAUCAUCAGCUUAAAAUUCGAAUGGGUUCAAGUCGGAUUAUAUCGAGCUUGUAAGAUGAGUUCACGGACCAAGUUUGCAUAAUAAAAUACCUAAAUGAAAAAAAAUUCUAUUUUAGAGGGACGAGAGCCCCUAUCAACUCCCGGCUCAGCCACUAAACAAUACCUAUAUCAUAUAAAUAAAUACCACCAUCUAAAAGACUCAAAGAAAAACACUCAACAAAGGAUAAAUAGAUAGAUGUUGGAUAAGUGUCCAAAAUAUGAUUUAAGUGAAGAUACAUGUGGUAGGUGUUACGGAAAUGUGAAGACAAGAAUCCCACUAACGUAUGGGAUGUGUGCAGUUGAAUGUAGGGAGCAAAAAGAGGAGUGAAUCAUUUUGGUAACAUUUGGACAAGAAACAUAAUGAACAAAAUGGAAGGAGAGGAAGCUAGUAAAAGAAUUUUUUUGGGUCAUAUAAUUUGUUCAUUUUGGAGUUGAAUUAUAAUUUUUUUAUAUAUUAUUUUAAAAUUUUAAGGAGUUAAAACAAAAUUAUUUUAUUUUCAGAUGGUCAAAGUAGAGGUGAUAAUGGGUUGGGCUAUUCGGCCCGGCCUGACGAUUCACUCGAAAAAUAGGAGGGUUUAGGUAAAAAUAUAGGCUCGAAAUAGGGAUUUGAGCAAAAAAAGAGUCCCGUUUAGAAAAUGGGCCAGGCCUCGGGUAAAAUUUUUUGGGCCCAAGCCUGACCUGAAUUAUAUAUUAAAUAUAUUUUUUAAUUUUUAAUCAAAUAUACUUUUUUUUAUUAAUUUGGUUAUUAUUUUAGUUCUAAUUUGUUUCAAUUUUAAUAUAACCACUUUUUAUUAUAUUUUCAAUUUGUGUAUUGUUUUAAGAAUUGUUUUAGUCUCAUUUUUUUAUUUAUUUUUUGUUUUAAUAAUUGUUUUAAAAAUUUUUAUUUAAUGAAAUAAGCUAAAAAAAUUAAUAUGGGCUUGGCCAGGCCAGGCUCGGGCCUAGUAAUUUUCUUUUGGGCCGGACUUAGAUAAAAUUUUAAGCCCAUAUUUUAAAUUGGGUCCUAACCUAAAAAAUGAACCUAAAAUUUUAUAUGGGCCCGACUUGGCCCUUGAUUACCUUUAGGUCAGAGCUAUCCUCGUUUUGCAUUUCUUUGAGAUUCAGCCUUAUCUACUGUGAUUGCCCACUCAAUUGAGGGUUGAGUAGAAAGAUUUGGUGAAGCAAGCUAAGCUAUCAAUCAAGGUUUGCAUAAUUAUUUAAAUGUAAUUCUAAUAUUAAAAUAAUUUUUUUAUUAAUAUAGUAUCAACAAGCAUUAAAUGUAAUGAUCAUAUACUAUUACAUUUUAAAGAAGAGAAAACAUGUUUGAACUUUAAAAACCACGUUACUAAAAACAUUAUCACAAACCUUGAAAUAUAAAAAAUAAUUUUUUUAAUAUAAUAAAAAAUUAAUUUUAAACCCGAGCUGAAUAAAAUUCUAAUUUUAGUUAAUGAUACGAACAACAAAUCAAUAUUCUAAGCCCGAGCCCUGCUCAUUUUUUUAAUAAACACCAAAAAUUUAUUUUGAAAAUAAAAAAUAAAAAAAAUAUUUUAAAAAUAUUUUAAAAAUAAAAAAAAUUAAAAAUAAAUAUUUAUUAUAUAUUCAGGCCGGGCCGGGCUAGCCUUGGGCUAAAAAAAUGGUGCCCGAGGCCCGGCCCAUUUUCUAAAUAGGCCUCAUUUUUUGUCCAAACCCAUAUUUUGGGCCUAUAUUUUUACCCGAACCUCUCAUAUUUUGGGCGGACCGUCGGGCCGGACCGGGCCGCCCGGCCAUGAACACCUCUAGGGCAAAGUCACUCAAUGAAUGCAUGGAAAGAAAUAUUGCAACUUGGUGACAGCUUUUGUUGGAGUUAUAUGCUUUUUUUUACAUAGUGGAACUUUCGGUGGAUUUUCAAGUUUCAUGAACUUUAUACCCUAGGCUUUACGUGAAAAAAAUCAUUGGACUUAAAAGUCUACCAAAAGUUUCACUAUAAUAAAUAAAUAAAUAAAUAACAUUGCUACAAGACUACAACAUAAAGUUACAAUAAGAGCUUAUAACUCAACAAAGGCUAUCAAUAAAUAAUCUCAAGCAAGCUAAAGAGAAAUGUUGAGAGUACCACUCAAAUAGUGAUUGACUUUAAAAAUUGAAAACCCGAAGUUAUUGUUGACACCAUUUUUUGGAUGAAAAUGUGUCGACUUGGGUUUUGAAAAUGAAAACGAAAACGAGAGUCGCCACCAAUCCUUUUUGAUAAGGUGUGACUGGGUCACCUUGAAAAGUGGUUGUUUUUAAUAAACGAUUUGAUUUUAUUAAAACAACAGUUUUGGUCCACGAAAUUCAGAAAAAUGAGUUCGGGAGUCGGUUACGCACGAGGAAGGAUUAGCACCCUCGAUACGCCCAAAAUUGGUACCUAGUUGAUUACUUAAUGUCUUAAUGUCGAAAAUUGAAAACUUUGGAGAAUUUUAAACAUACGAUCCUUGUAUUAAAACGUUAAAAAUUUUCAAGAAAAUGGGAUAUUUCACGUUAUUCGAUAAAGAGAAUCAUAUCCUAGUAAGUUAGGACACAAUAUCUCGAAUUUCCGAUAUCAUUUAAAACUUGAGUUUGAAAAGAUUCGUGUAAUAAAGUUUAAAAUAAUAUUCAAUUGUUUAAAUCAAAUGAAGAAAUCGCAACCCAAUACGUUAGGGCACAAUUUCUCAAAAUAUUAAACAUUGAAUAUUGCAUUUAUUUCGAAAAAUCCUCAUCUCGAGAAAACGUGUCACAUCCAAUGCAUUAGAAUACAACGUAUUGAAUUCUCGAUAACGAGCUUUUUCUCAUUUUUUAAAAGAGUAAUCUCGAUUAUUUAGGUUCAACGAAGAAAAUCAAAACCCAAUACGUUAGGGCUCGAUUUUCUCAAAGAUUCCAAAUACCGAGUAUUACUUAUAUUUUUAAAAUUUCUUUUUUGAAAUCCGAGUAAAAAUGAAUGCAAAAUAAUAAAUGAUGACAAUGUAAAUAAAAUGAUACAAGCAAAACAAUAAACAAUAAAAAUAAUCAUACGGGCAAGGUAACAAAUAAUUAGGAACUAAAGAAAGAGAACAAACAAUAAUAAACAUGCAAAUAAAUGAACAAAAUUAACAACAUGAUGCAAAUAUGAAAGAUAUAUAAGCACAUAUAUAUACAUAAAAUAAUGAGAAUAUGAAAAAAUGUGUGUAAUUGGACAUGUUUCGGAAUUAUUAUACAUUUAAAAAUCAUGUAAAUGUGUGUACAUACAUAUAUACAUAUAUAAUAAUCAUUAAAUAUAUAAAAAUACAUAUGUGUAGGUAUAUAUGAGUCAUAAAAUGUAAAGAAUAUAUACAAGAUAUAUUUUGAACGUAUAAAGUAUAUGUAAAUGUAUAUAUAUAAUAAAGGUGUAUGAAAGCAUAUUUUAUAUACGUGUAUUUAUAAAAUGUAUAUAAAUGUAUAUUGAUUUACCAAUACAUAUGGAUUUAUAAUUAUAGAAUAUAUAUAAAAUAUUUACAUAUAUACGUUUAUGCAUAUAUAAAAGUAAGUUAUUAUAAAAUAUGAGCAAGCAGAAUACAUAAAUAUAUAUACAUAAAAUAAAAAUGAAGAUGAAAAUAAUAUAAAACUACUUAAUAUAUUAAUAUAAUAGUAACAAAUUAAAAAAACAGAAAAUAAAGCUAAUAAUAAUUAAUAAUAGUAGUAAUAAUUAUAGCAGCAAUGAUAAUGAUAAUAAUAAUAACACUAAAAAAAUUAAUUAAAUAAUAAAAUUGCUAAAAAGGGAUUAAAUCGAAAUAAAAACAUAAAUACUGGGCGAUUUUGAAAUAAAAAACGGGAAGGACCGAAUUGCAACGCGCGUUGAAAAGGAAAGGGCCAAAACUGCAAAUAAACCACAGCCCCAAAACGCAGCGUUGAAAUGGACCAAGUCGAAAUAAAAAUAAAAUUGCAGGGGCUAAAUUAAAAAUAAGAGAAAAUAACGAAAAAUGAUCAAAUUGUAAUACGCUGCAAAAUCAGGGGGACUGCACGCGCAAAUAGCCCAAAAACUGAAAACACGCGGAUCCUCCGGGUCGGGUCGGGUCGGGUCAGGUCGACGUGCGGAUCCCCUUUGCUAAAACGGCGUCGUUUCAUGUUUAAUAUAAAUACUAAAAAAAGCUAAAAAAAACAGUUUCAUCUUUUUUUAAAAAAAACAGAGAGAAAACUCUCUCUUUUUCCCUCAGGUCCGGCCAUGGUCCGGCUUGGGAUUUCCGACGAGUCUCCGCCGCAAAGCCACCGUGUGUGGCGGCCGGAGGUUCAAAAUCAGACCUUUUUGGUCCUUUUUUAAAGUCCAUGGCCUCCAAGCCACAGAUCCGGGGCUGAAUCUCCUGAAUCGAAAGCCGAAGACCCAAAAAAUGGGGUGAAAUCCUUCGCCUUCCUCCCCCUUCCGGCGCUGCGCAGGUAAGGUUUUUUUUAACUCCUUUUUUACUAUCUUUAUUUAUAUAUAUACAUGAAGAGAAAAGAGAGCAAAAUAAAUAAAUAAAUAAAAACUUCAAAACUGAAGAGAAAAAGACCUUGAAUCUGCCUUAUUUAUUUUCUUUCGGUUGAAUCUGUUUUUGUUUGUUACAAAAGUUUCCAGGGAAGAGAAAAAAAAAGAGAGUUACAUGCUUGGCUUUUAUAGCCGAUAUUAAUUUCUAUUUUUUGUUUUCUUUUUCCUUUCUUUUCUUUGGCUGUUGCGUGUUUGCUUCCUUAUUGCAGGGUGAUUGACGGGAGUGGUUGGCGACAGAGUCGGUGGCCACUUGCACUGAUGAAGCAGCGGUGGCGGCGCUAGGGUAGGCUAGGGACGGCGGCAGUACUAGGGUUUCAGAAAACUGAAACCCUAGUUUGACAAAUUGGUUUCGGGCCUGUUGGGCUUUAAAUUAUGGGCUUUGUAAUUGGGUUUUGGGUUUAGGUGAUUUGGGUUUAGGUGGUAUGGGCCCGGGUCAAAUUUUGGGUAAUGGGAUUGGGGCAAAAUUGGGUUGUACAGUUAUAAUAUCCCAAACGAAAUCAAACUAUAAACAUUAAAUUUUUCGAGUCUUCUAGAUACUGUAAAAAAUUCAGCUCCAACGGACACCAAAUGAACCUAUGAUCGAAGAAAAUACGAAGACUAGUCUGGCUAAAUCAAUCUGCCAAACUUACUUUUUAUCUUAUCUUUAAUUUGCUGUGAAAUUCAAAACUACGUGUAAUACUCAAUUUAUGCUCGACCCAUUUUGUUAAAACAAAUAAAAAAGAAAAGAAAAACAAAAUAUUUAAAUUUAGCCCAAAUGUCCAUUUACACAGCCCAAUUACAAUUGCAAAUAAAAAAAACUAAAACUAAACCCGAUCCUAAGCAUCAGCCCAAAUUCGACCCAUGCCCAAAACGAAUUCAGAUGCAGAAACCCUAGCCCAGCCUUAAUGCAAGCAAAAGUCGAAAGCCCUAAUAGUUGGUGCGCCGCUCCUGUAACAGCCCGAUUUUGGGCCUAGUCGGAACAGUGGUUUUGGGACCACAAAUCCGACGAGAAAAAAAUGUAAUGGCCCGAAUUUUCAGAGGUGUCAGAACGGUGAUUCGAGAUCACUAAAUUCGACAAAUGGGUAGAAAAUAUUAUUAAUUUAGUAAGUAUAAGUUAAAUGUGAAGUUAGGAAAAUUUUUGAAAUGGUGAAUAGUACACUAGAAAUAAAUAUUAAAAUAAUUAGAAUCGAAAAUGAGGUAUCGAGACCUCGGGGAUUUUAAACCGAGCCAUAAAUAUUUUUAUAAAUAUUUAUGUAGUCUUAAAAAGUUAGUAUUAAAGUUUCGUUAAGAAAUUUUAAAGUUCCGAUAAUUAAUUGAACAAAAAGGACUAAAUUGUAACAAAUACAAAAUUAUGAGAAAUGAUUAAAUAGUUUAAAUGAUAAAAGGAAGAGGGCUUAAAAGGUAAAUAGACCCAAGGUCUAUUUGGGCUGCACGGCAAAGGCAUGAAAUCAGCAACAAAGUAAGGAGAAUUAAGGGCAAAAUUGGAAUAUUGCAAAAUUUACUUAAUAAAGUUAGGACCAAAGUGGAAUUAUCUAGAUUUCUCUUUAUUUUUCUGCAUUAUCAUCAGCAUAAACACCAUAGAAGGGUUUUCUUAAGCUGGUUCUUCCUAUUUUUACUGCAGGUAAGUUCAAUUCUUGAUUAUUUCUUGAAAAUUUUGUGUUUUUGUGACUUUUACAACUAGGCCCACUUAUUGUAUUCAUUAGUUUUUGAUUCUAUGAAAGAAGUUGAAAGUUGCUAUGAAUACAUGCUGGAAGUAUAUGAUGAUUUAGCAUGGAAUUAGAGCUUUAAAUUGUUCAUAUGCUGAUUUAUUGAAAGAAUUGAAUAGAAAGUGAAUGUUUGGGACCUAAUAGUAAAAGAGUUUGAAGAUAGAGUUAUAUGUGGAAAUUCUGAAUUUCAAUAGUUGUGAAACAACUUAUAAUGUCUAGGUUAAGUAUUAAUUGAGAAAAUUAAAUUAAUUGAGGGGUUAAUUGAGAAAGGACCGAAUUGUAUAAACUGUGAAAUUUGGGGCAAAAAGGAAAUCAACAUUUUACACUAAAGCAGUUUUGGACAGCAGCAGUAGUAUAACUUUGAAAAAUCACCAAAAAUUUUGAGAAUUGAAUUAGAGGGUGAAUAAAAUAUAAAAUUAAAGCUCCUUGAAUCUAGUUUCUCAUAGAAGAAACGGUGUAAGCAAUGGAAUUGUAAAUCAUGAGAUAUAAUAAAUUUUGUGAGACAAUGUCAUAAUGAUUUCGGGUUCCCCUAUUCUGACUUUGGAAAAUCAUCAAAAAAUUAAGAAAAAUAUGAGUUAUAAUUUAUAUGAUUACAAUCCUUAAUGAGUCUAUUUUCAAAGAAAAUAAACGGAAAUAUCAUCCAAAUUCUGUACAAUUAUAUAAUUCAUUUUUAGUGAAGAGUGGUCGAAACUGUCAGACAGCGAAAUAGGGGGAACUUUAAAGAAUAAACUGUACUAUUUGGCUGAACCAAAAAUUCUGAAAAUUUUAUGGUAAGAAGGUAUGUGAGUCUAGUUUUAAGGAAAAUUAACGGAUCUUAAUUUAGAGCUCUGUAGCUCUAGAUAAAAAUAAUUUAGUGACUCUGACUCAGAUAAAUAGCUUUGAAUGUACAUGUGAGUGAAUAGUGAAAUUAUAGCUAGUGUUGUUUAAGUGUGUUAUACACAUUAAGGAUAUGGAAUGGAGAGGAGGAGGAGGAGGAAAAAUUGGGAAAUAUAUGAAUGAUUUGUGUAUAAUUGGUCAUAUGCUUAAUUAUAAUUGAUAAACGAUGAAAUAGAAAUGAUGCAUAUAUUUGUGCAGUAUUGGUCAUGGUUUAAGCUCAUGUGGGAAAAUAAAGUUUAUAGUACGUGUGUAUUAUAUUUUUGGUAUAUGAUUUGGCAUUAAGUAAUGUCGUGAAUGGAUAUUGAAUUAACACAUGUUGGAAAGUUUGAUAUAUGAAUAAAUAUUGUGAUCAUGAAAGAGUGUUACAGCUCCUGCCUUCAGCACGCGUCGAGCCUCCGCGCCAAAUCCACGUGAGCCUCCGUACACUCCAACUAGCCUCCGUACCUGCAACAAACAAAAGUAGACAAAACAACAGCAAAGGAUAGGAAGAAAAGGCAGUAAAUAGUGAAGAUUUUUCUGUAAUUUUCUUUGGAUUUCAUUAUGUAUUUUCGGCUAUAAAAGAGCCAUUAGGAAUAUUUGUAAAGGGUUUUUUUUUUACCCUCACACACAAAGAGAAUAUACACGCAUACAAGAUCAAUAUAGAGAAAGAAAUAAAAAUAAAUAAAUACAAAGAAUAGAAAAUCAAGUUUCGAAGGUGAUUCUUUGAAAAAUCCUUUUCGUUUUUCUCAUUUUUCCUUUUUCCUGGAUCUUUUGUUCAUUUCAAGUAAAAAAAGUAUAGAAAGGAAACAAGUUUAGAGGAAGGAGGUUUACCUGGACGCCGGACCUCGCUCGCCUCGUCGAAAUCGAAGGCUGAGAGGGGAUAAAUCGGUUUUGCGGCAGAAGGAAAGGGGGGCUAGGGUUCUUGUUUUAACUUUUUUAAAAAAAAUAGAAAAGGUUGCUAAUUAGGUUUUAAUGGGGGAUUUAUGUGUGUUAAAAAAACGACGUCGUUUAGCGACCUUUGACCCGUGCGGUGACCCGACCCGAGGAAAGGAUCUGCGCGUUUUGGGUCUGAUGGGUUUAUUGCGCAACAAGCCCUUCCGCAUUUGUUUUUCGUUUCAAUUCGGUUUUUAUUUGUUUUUUAAUUGUUUUCUCAUAUUUAGUUCCAAUUUCAAUUGGGUCCAUGAUUAAACGACAUCGUUUUCAUUGAUUGGGUUUGAAGGCCUGGUUUUGUGCGUCUAAAUUGCAGCAAUGGUCCCCCUGAUGUGCAAUAGUUCUCGAUUUAGUCGUCUCCACACUUAUUUCAAAGUCGUCCUUGAGAUUUUGUUUUAUUUUUGAAAUUGUCCUUGUCUUCUUUUAAUUUAUAAUGAUAUUAUUAUUAUUGUUGUUGUUAUUAUUACUAUUAAUAUGGGUAUUGUUAUCAUGUUAGUUUAUAUCUAUUUAUUUACUUUUAUUUUAUUAUGUAUUAUUAUAUAAUGCUUUUAUCAUGUAUCAUUUUAUAUAUUUUCUAUGUUAAUCUAAUAUGAUAUAUAUAUAUAUAUGUAUUUUUGUGAUCUUAUUUUAUAAUACUUUUUUAACCCAUUUAUAUGCCUUUAUGUUUUAAAGAUUUAUAAUAUUUUGUGCAAAACUAUUAUAUAUAUAUAUAGAUAUACAAUUUAUAUUAGACCAUUUUUAUCGUACAUAUACGUAUAUAUAAUUUAUAUUUUGAAACUCUAUUUUAUUAUAUUUUAUGCCUCUAUAUACAUCAUUAUAUGUUUAUUAUUCUUUAUAUUAAACCUGCCAUUUCACUUAUAUAUUUUUAAAACCAAUGUGUAUUAUUCUUUCUUCUUUGUUAUUUUUUAUCUCUUAAAAUAGAUUGAUAAUUCAUUUAAUUUUUGAAUGUUGUAUGACCGAGAUUAUCGUUGCCAUUCUUGUCCAAAUUUAUCCAUUGCUUGUUCAUAUUAUUUGAUAAUUUAUCGCUCACUAGCAUGUAUCGUAAUUUACGAAUUAUCAUUUUGAAUUAUGUACUACCAUUCAAUCGCAUUACAUUUGUUUGGAAAACAUCGAAAUCGUUUUGCACAUAAACCUUCAAAAUGCUUGGUAUCCAAAAUUCUCGAGAGGAUUGUGCCCUAAUUUAUUGGGCUUCAAUUCCCCUUUUUGAUUUUAAAUAACCGAAUACCCCUUUUUCAAUUUGAACAUAGAAAUUCCAAAAUAAAAAAAAACUCAUUCUCGGGAAUUUGAUGCGUUGUGUCCUAACGUAUUGUAUAUGACAUAUUUUUCUCGAGACGAGGAUUUUUCUAACAAAUAAAAAUAAAGGCAAUAUUCGAUAUUUAGGAAUUUUGUGAAAUCGAACCCUAACUUACUGGGUUUUGAUUUUUUCAUUUGACCCAAGUAGGAUAUCCUUCACAAAUGCACAGAUUUUAAAAAAUCAAAAGAUAAACUUAAUUUCGAGGAUUUAAAAUGUUACACUCUGACUUACUGAGUGUGUCAAUUUAUUUCUUUGAAAUAAGUGAGUCUUAUCAUCCAAUUUAUUUUAUUCAAAUUUUCUUUUCCAAGGAUCGUAUUUUAAAAUUUUUUCAAAAUUUCGACAUUAAGACAUUAAGCAAUCAAUUCAGUACCAAUUUUGGGCGUCACGAGGGUGCUAACUCUUCCUCGUGCGUAAUCGACUCCCGAACCAGUUUUCUCAAAAUUCACAGACCUAAAAUUAUUUUCAAGGUGAUCCGAUCACACCACAAUAAAAGAUCAGUGGUGACUCCCAUUCCUAUUUUUAAAAGUCGAUUCCUGUUUUUCAUAUAUAAAAAAAUGGUUUCGACACUACGGUUUUGUUUGUUUCCCUUAGAACAACUUUCAAAAAGUUAAUUUUGAAAAAUGGAUUGAAUUUUCAAAAUAGAUGAUAUUUUUUUGUGUUAAAAUUUUAUUCGUUGUUUGAAAAAAAAAUUUAAAUCAUUUUCUUAGAAUUAUUUUUAGUGAAACAAAUAUAUCAUAAAUAUAUUUGUUAUAAAAUAUUAUAUUAAUAUUUUCUUUUAACAAUUAAAAUAUAUUUUGUGAUAAGGUAAUAUUUUAUAAUAAUUAAUAUCAUAUAUACUUAAUAAUAAAUCAUGUCUAAUUAAAAUUUAAUUUCAAUUAAAUAUAUUAAUAAAGCUACAUUUAAUCAUAUUUUAUAUAAUUAAAAUAUUAAUAUAAAUAUUUUUCAAUAAUAUAUUAAAGAAUAUUUAAAAUUUAAAUUUAUUAUUACUAAGAUUAAUUAUUAAAACAAAAAUGUAAUAUUAAAUAAUUUAUCCAAUGAUAAGUUAUAUUAAUAAUUUAUUAUAUUAUUAAAUAUAAAUAAUUAAAUAUGUAUGUUUAAUAAUAUUAUGUUAUAAUAUUUAUUACUAAUAUUUUAAUAUUUUUAAACAACCAUGUUUUAAAGAUGGUGGUGAUGGUGAUGGUGCAGGCCCCCUUGUUAAAAUUACAAUAUUUUUAAGUGGGAUGCAUGUAAUAUAUUGUUAGGGUUUUAGAGUAUGUGGUCUUUAAAAGGGUUAAAUUAUAUAUUUAUAUAAUAUGAUUAUUGUUUAUAAACAUAAUAUUGUAGAUAAGUUUAUAUGUAUGUCAAUAUGUAUCCUACUCUAAGGUUAAUAUGUAUUUUUUAGAUGUGGGUUUACCUAUAUAAUAGUAUGAAUCCAUCAUGUGGUCUCAUGAAAUAUACAAACACAUAUCGUGCGAACACAAAGUACGAACAAUAAAAAAUACAAAUCAAGACCCAAUUGAAUAAUUGAAUAACGGAUAGGUAAUAAUGAAUAUCAUAACAUUUACUAUCCCCUCUUUUCUAGUGAGUUAUUGUUUAUGAUAAAUUUGCAACAAAUGUUUUUAUCAUUAUUUUGUUGGUAAAUGAUAAUAAGAUUAAACAUUACUUUCUUAAGCUCCUUCAAUUCUUUGGACGUUAGCGAGUAAACUUGAGCUUCAGCAUUCCACAAACACCUUAAUUUGAAGACACAGUUCUCUCAUACUAAAAACGACAUGGACGUUUACCUUGUAAUUAGAGAUUUGGGCUCAUUGUUGGGUUAUUAAUGAUACGGGGAUGGAGAGCUUUAAACUGGGUAUGGUUGGCCCCAAAGAGGCUCGAAACGUGCUUGAGACUAGAGGUGAUCAAGGGCCGGGUUAGGCCCAGUCUAGAAAAAAAAUUAGGCCCAUUUUUUAGAUUUGAACUCGGCUCGGCUCAAAAUAUAAGCUUAAAAAUUUGUCUAAGUUCAGUCCGAAAGAAAAUUGUUAAGCCCAAGCUCGACCCAUAUUAAAUUUUACAACACCAAAAAAGUAUAUUUAAAUAAAAAUAAAAUAUAUAUAUUUAAUAUAUAAUUCGGGCCGAGCUGAACUCGGGCCAAAAAAGUUUUACUCGGGGCUGGUCCGUUUUCUAAACAGACUUCGUUUUUUUUGCCAAAAUCCAUAUUUUUACCCGAAUCUUCCUAUUUUUUGGGGUGUGCCGUCGGGCCGAACUGGGUAACCGAACCAAUGAUCACCUCUGUAAUCACUGAAUUUUGUCCGGGAAUAACUUUCGUUAAAAAAAUUUUAAAAUUAAAAAAAAAUUAACUUUUUUGCUUUUUGACCCCUAAACUUUUCUAAAAUUUCAUUUUAACCCCUAAACUUUCUCAAAAUUACAGUUCAACCCCUAAACUUUUCUAAAUUACAUUUUGACCCCUAAAAUUUCUUAAAAUUACAUUUGGACCCUUACACUUUCUCAAAAUUACGUUUCGGCCCCAAAAUUUUUGCUACAUUUACAAAUUGGUCCUUCUGUCAGAAAAUCCCCAAUAAUCCGGCGGAUUUCGUGCACCUGCCCCACUAUUUCCGGCAGCCGGCCUAGGGCAUGGCCUUCCCCACCUGCUACCUGCAAACAAGAAGCAAAAUCAACUAUAAAAAGGAGUUUAAACUCCAAAAAUCGGACCCCCACCCACGAAAAAAAUAAAAAAAAAAAACUUGAAAGAAAAAGAAAAAAGCUUUGAGAAAGAAAAAGAAAAGGAAAAGAAGAGAGGGGAGAAGGAGAGGCCGACCAUCGGCGAGCCACCGGAGGAGGCGACGGCAGCAGCGGCAUCGACGGCGGCGUAGAAGACCGAACGGAGAAGAAGAAGAAGAAGAAAAAAAAAGAAAGAAGAGAAAGAAAGAAGGAAGAAGAAGAAGAAAGAAACAAAAAAAAAAGAAAAUAUUUUGUAAUAGUCGGCCCGGCCCGACUCGACCUGCACGACCCGUGACCCGACCCGACAGCACCAGCAACCUAGCAGGCCACGGUAGCAGCCCGGCGGCCCAAAGAGUAGCCCAAAAAGAAAAAAAGAAGAAGAACAAAGCAAAAAAAAAAAGCAGGCCAUUUUCAGCAGGCCCAGUGCAGCCCAGCAGACCCAGCGAACCCAGCAGGCCAGGCCCACACGCAAGCAGCCCAACAGAAAAAAAGGGAAAGAAAAAGAAAAGAAAAAAGAAAAAAGAAAAAAGAAGAAGAAGGGGUUCAAUUUGUAUUAUCCGUUCGGCGAAGCUCGUGUUUUGAGGAUUUUUUUUCGGUAAUUUUAUUUUUUAAUUUUAAUUUAAUGCUCGUAUUUUUUUUAAAUAUUAUUAGUAUUUUAUGCAUUUUUAUAUUUUGGCAUUUAUAUUUUUAAUUUAAUUUACUUCAAUUUUUAUUUUAUUUUAUUUUAAAUAAUUUUAAUAAAUGAGGCAACGAAUCGAUUUAACAUAAAAUCGUUGAUUUCAUUGCUAUGUUGGGUGAAUAUCAUCGGUUUGUGUUAAACACGAUACACCCUUUUUAAAAAAAAGAAAAAAAUCGAAAAAAUUCUAAAAUUCUCAUUUUUUUAAAAUUCUCGUGUUUUAAUAGAAUCACGAUUAAAUAUUAAGUUGAAUCGAUUUGGCACUAAUUCGAUGAUUUCAUCUCCAUGUAGGGAUGAAUAUCAUUUAUUCGUGUUAAAUAUGGUACUUCUGAAAAAAAAUCGGGUUUCAAAAAUUUUCGUGUUUUCAAAAAUUCUCAUGUUUCAAAAAUCUUCGUGUUUUAAAAAUUCCAGUGUUUCAAAAAUUUUCGUGUUUUCAAAAAAAAAUUUCUCGUGUUUUUAAAAAUUCCCGUAUAUCGAAAUUUUCUUGUUUUCAAAAAAAAAAUUCCAUGUUUCAUAAAUUUCCGUGUUUUCAAAAAAAAAUUCUUGUUUUUCAAAAAUUUUCGUUUUUAAAAAAUUUGACCGUGUUUCAUAAAUUUUCGUAUUUCAAAAAAACCUCGUGUUUCAAAAUUUUCGGGUUUUUUUAAAAACAAUUCGUGUUUCUAAAAUUCUCGUAUUUUAAAAAAAAUCGUGUUUUCAAAAAAAGAAAAAGUUGUUGUGCUUUAAAAUUAUCGUGUUUCAAUCGGAUCACGAUUAAUAUUAAAUUGAACUCGUAUUUUUGAAAAUGAAAACAACGCGCGUUUAACGAGAUACCAAUUUUGGGCGUCGCGAGGGUGCUAAUACCUUCCUCGCGCGUAACCGACUCCCGAACCUUAAUUUUCUCUGAAUUUUUACGUGGACCUAAAAUUACCUCUUUUUAGAAAAGUUUAAAAAUGAAUUUUUCUUCUAAAAAGAGAAUUUUGUAGGUGUCCGAUCACACCUAAAAAAAGAUCGGUGGCGACUCCUUUUUUUCAAAUAAAAUCGAGAUUCAGUUUUCAAGUUUUUAAUAAUUACUUCGACAAGCGCCCGUGCGCAAAAUUUUUAAGUCGCUACAGCCUCUACUUGAGACAACAGGGUUUUGCAGGGAAUUCUUACAGGUUCGUUUCUGGCGACAAAAAAGAGCUCUUCACUAUAAGCAUACAAACAAGAGCCAAAACUAUGCCUCUUAGUGAUGAUAUUAGGCCUUAUGUUAUUCCUUUUCAACAUCAAACCGUCAACCGGUAUGGUAUGUUUUUUUUAUUUAAUCUGCAAUUUGUGAUAAUUCUUUGUUAUUUAUGUAUGGAAUUUAUUGGGAGGAAAUGCUGGAAAGAAUUCAUUUACGAGAAUUGGUCCAAGAUCAAGGGUGAACAUUACGGACCCUGAAAAAUAAGAGAAAUACUUAACAAAUUUAAUGACUUCCAGAAGAUACGUACCAAUCCACUGCUUAAUUUGCUUGUAAGCGGCCUUGUUAACCUCGAAGGAGACCGAUGGAGCAAGCAUAGAAAAAUCAUAACCCUUGCAUUUCAUCAAGAUAAGUUGAAGGUAUAGAAUAGUAAUGGGUACUCAAGACUUUAAAGAAAACAUCAUACUUAAGCCUAUGCUUUUCUGAUUUAGAAAUAAUUGGAUGCAGAAUAUGUUGCCAGCAUUUUAUCAAAGUUGUAGUGACAUGUUUAAGCAAAUGGGAGAAGAUGGUGUGUACAGAAGGAUACAUUGAGUUAGAUGUGUCGCCUUAUCUCGUAGAUUUGACAAGAGAUGUUAUUUCCCGAUCUGCUUUUGGAAGCAGCUUCGAAGAAGGCAAACGAAUUUUCCAAUUACUAGAGGACCAACUCGUUCUCACAAUCAAAUUAAUACAAACUGUUUACAUUCCAGGAUGGAGGUAACCGUCUACUUUAAUUUACUUGAAAAAGGUUGCAAAUGUUGGAAUUGGCUAAAUUCGUGUUUGUUUUCUUGAAGGUUUUUGCCCACAAAGACAAACAGGGAGGUGAAGAUGAAACACAAAGACAUAAAAGAGUCGCUCAGGGAAAUGAUAAAAAGAAGAAAGCAGGCAAUUAAAGCAGGGGAAGAGAGUAAUGAGGACUUGUUGGACAUACUUGUGGAAUCCAAUAUCAGAGAAAUGGAAGCAAAGAAUAUGGGGAUGAGCAUUGAGGAUGUGAUUGAGGAAUGCAAGCUGUUUUACUUAGCUGGCCAGGAGACCACUUCGGUCUUACUGGUGUGGACUAUGGUUUUAUUAGCAAGGUAUCCCGAUUGGCAAAGUAAAGCAAGAGAGGAGGUUUUGCAUGUUUUGGGUGACAGUAAACCUGAUGCUGAUGGCCUUAAUCGUCUCAAAGUUGUAAGUCCCUAGCAUGUCUCUUGAAGGCCCGAUCUCUGAGGUCGACAACUCAAAAACUUGGUUCUUUGUUUCGCUAAUUCUACAGUUAACAAUGAUAUUGUACGAGGUUCUAAGGCUGUACCCACCAGUGAUUGAGCUAGGACGUUCCGUUCCAAAAGAAAUAAAACUGGGAAAUUUGUUGUUACCAGCAGGAACAGACGUUUCGGUUCCAAUCCUGCAGAUCCACCAUGACAAAGAUCUUUGGGGCGACGCCGCACGGGAAUUUAAGCCACAGCGGUUCACGGAAGGGGUUUCCUAAGCAACAAAGAGUCAAGUCACGUUUCUGCCAUUCGGAUGGGGUCCUAGGAUCUGCAUUGGCCAAAACUUUGCCAUGAUGGAAGCUAAAAUGGCGAUGGCUAUGAUUCUCCAACGCUUCUGGUUUGAGCUUUCCCCUUCCUAUGCUUACUCUCCUUACAACAUGGCAACUCUUCGUCCACAGCAUGGUGCACAGAUAAUUUUACAUAAACUUGGCUGUAAUUGAAUUGUUAUGUAAGCAAAUCUUUGUGAAAAUAUAGUGUUUUAGUGUAUCGUCAACGUCUGUCUGUAAUGGUACAAUUCCGAUGCAUGAAUAGUAAAUUUUGAGAUGUUUGGUGAAGUCCGAAAUAAUAUGCAGAAAUUGAGUGUCUAUGGUGGACAUAGUUGAGGGACUAAUGUGGUAAUUAUCAAUCAAAUAAUUCGGUACAAAGACUUAUAUGGAAAUUAAAGCAGGGGGAGUUGAAAAUGACUACUCUGCUUUGGGCAUCAAUUUAGAAAGAUUUAAAGUACAAAUGUGUUAUUAGUUAAGGGAUUUGUUUUAAAGAGGGAAUGACAAUUAAACCUCAUGGUUGAUUUGUGGAAGGGAACCAAUGAUGGGAUGAUUACUCUUAGUGGUGAAAAAAAAACUAUUAAGGUGGUUAUUAUAGUUGUUAUCACCAGCCUAAAAUUUGAAUAGGUUCAGGUCGGAUUAUAUUGAGCUUGCAAGAUUAGUUCACGGACCAAACUUGCAUGAUAAUAGGUAUUCACAACAAGAUAUCUAUAGUUUCCAACAAAGUCACAUGUGAGAUCGUGCAUUAGAACCGCAUAAACAUGUUUUAUGUUUAGAAUAUGAUAUGUGUCUAUGUGUAUAGAAUCUACCUAAUAUAUCAUAUUAAUGAAUAGUAUCAAUUGCGGAGCCAAAAAAUUAUUUGUGAGGGGUCAGAAUUAAAUUGUAUAUUUUUACAAAAAUAAAAAUUAAAUUUCACUAUUUUAAUAGUUUAUUUAUUUUUAAUUUUUAAAUGAUUAAAUUAAAUUUUAUAAAUUUUUAGGAUCAAAGUAUAAUUUUAUCAUUACUAAUUUAAAAUUUUAUAAAUUAUAAAAAGUUUAUAUGAAAAGUUUUCUAUUUUAGGGUGGCCAAAGCCCCUGUCAACUUCUGACUCGAUCACUUGCGGUUAGUUGGGUAAAGACUCAAGAAAAAUAGCGGUGUGUUUGGAUGGACGGUGCGUUUACUUGCGGUUAGUGUAAAAAUAGCGGUGGCGGUGAGAUUAGAUACUAUAGCAACACUGUAGCGUGAGACAAAAAGUAAGUUAAACGCACUGCACUGCACUUAAUCGUCUAUCUAAACUCACCAUAAGUGUCUAAAAUAUGAUUUAAGUGAAGAUACGUGGGGUAGGUGUCAUGGAAAUGUAAAAAAAAAAAAGAAUCCUACUAAUGUAUGGGAUGUGUACAAUUGAAUGCAGGAGUGAAUCAUUUGGGUAACAUUUGGACAAGAAACAUAAUGAACAAAAUGAAAGGAGAGGAAGCUAGUAAUAAAAGAUUCUUUUGGGUUAUAUAAUUUGUUUGGCAUAUAUUUUUAUAAUAUUUAAAUAUCAUUUUGGAGUUGUUGAAUUAUAAUUUAUUUUUAUGUUUUAAAACAUAAUUAUUCUAUUUUUAGAGGUCAGAGUAGAGGUGAGCAUGAGUCGGGCUACUCGGCUCGGGCUGAAGGCUUGCGCAAAAUGUGAGAGAUUUGGGUAAAAAUAUAGGCCCGAAAAAUGAGUUUAGACAAAAAAAAAUAUAAGGCCCGUUGAAAAAACAGGCUAGGCCUUGGGUAAGGCAUUUUGGCCCCAGACCCGGCCCAACCCAAAUUCACUAAGGGCACGUUUGGUUCGCUGUAUUGGAAUAGAGGCGUAAUGUAAUAGAGGCGUAAUGGAAUAGAGACGUAAUAGCAAAUCAAUUGUUUGGUUGAAUGUAAUGGAAUAGAGGCGUAAUAGUAUUCUUAUAUUUGGUUGAAUGGAAUAGAGUUGUAAUAGCAUAAGGAAAAAAGUUAAAAUGACUAGAAUACCCUUAGCAGAAAUUUGUUUAGAUAAAUGAUUAUUGUUAUUGUUAUUAAAUUUUAAUAAGAUUAUUAAUAUCAGUAAUAAAUAAUUUAAUCAUAUUUUAACAUAAUUAUUAUUAAAUAUAAUUUAAUAAAAAUAUAUAAUUUAAUAAAAUUCUUAAUAUUAAAUAUUCUUAAUAUUAAAUUACUAAAAUCAUAAUAUAUAAUACUAUAAAAUAUAAUUUAACAUAAUUAUUAUUAAAUAUAAUUUAAUAAAAUUCUCAAUAUUAAAUAUAUUCUUAUAUGAAUUUACUAAAAUCAUAAUAUAUAAUACUAUAAAAUAUAAUUUAAAAUAAUUAUUAUUAAAUAUAAUUUAAUAAAAAUAUAUAAUUUAAUCUAAAGUUUGAAUGUGUAUUUACCUAGCAAAAAUCAAUGAACUCUCGUGUAACUAUAACCUUAAUAAUAUAUGAUGUAUAAUUAAUAUUUCGUGACUAAUUAAUAGCAUAGAGAUAAAUAUAGUAAUGACGAAUUUAUAGUAUACGAUUAAAAUGCUAAUAAUUUAUAGUAUACAAUUAAAAUAUUAUAAAUAAAAUAAUAGUAAAUGAUAUAUAAGAUAAAUUAACAUAUAAAUAAUUCAGAUAUGUAAAGGAUAUGGCUGAAUAUGGUUGCUCCAAUAAUAAAGGAUAUAUAAUAUAUCAUGGUGUUGUUUUGUUUAGAUAGUUCGGUAACUUAGGAGGGUAUGUAUGAAGAACACAAGUUGAUGCAGAUAGAAAGACGACAAUAUUACAUGAUUACAAUAUGAUAUAGUAUAUAUAUAUAAUUUAUGGAUUCCUUGCAAUCACGUGGGUUCUCUAGCCAUUUUAUUUAGCAUAUCCAGUGAUAUUAAGAUCCAGAAUUAUAAUACAACUAAAAUCUGUGCACACUUAUGGAUGAUCCAACAAAGCCUCAGUUGGCUUUAGGUUCCAAAUCUUGCAACCCACAAACCAUAUUUGCUGGCACUGCAACAUCAAUCAUCUUAGGAUAUGCCAAGUUAAGAUCUGUUGCACCAACAAAAACAGAGGAGAAAUUGGAAGGCGAUCCGAAAAAACCCAAGGAUGCUUUUUCUUUUCUUUUUUUUUUAUAAUCUUUAUAGACUGGUUAUAUUGAGCAUCAACUUACUUUCCAUGAUGUUUUUGAAAGUCUCUUACAAAAAGGGUAUUCAACAAAUAAUAUAAUCAGACAUAUUGAUAGGACAAAUUGAAACUAGUAUUCUAUGAUCAUAAUAAAGAGUAAUCUUUAAUCAAAUGCGUGAAGGUAUUGAGAUGUCAUGCUUUUUCAUGAUUUCCUGUUUUACCAUGGCGAUGUUCAUUGGAAUAGUCCCAUCCAAGAGAAUCAAACCAAUGCUCAGCAAGAAAUGUUCAAUGCAUAUGUAAUUUUAAUUACAGAAGUUAUAUGCAGCUUAUAUGAGUUCAAGAUCAUAAAAUACUUCAUGGACAAAAGGAAACCCUUUCUUAUCACUGAAAUGAAAAUAGGCACUCUUAAUUUUCUAUUGUCAAAAGUAGCAAGCCAUUUUCCAAAGAAAAGGGAAGAUGGAUGGUUCCAGAAAGAAUACCUCAUCCUUUGUCAAGUGUGGAUUAUAUAGCAUCUCCUCUCCCACAGUGGUUACCUAUAAUCAAUGAGGUUUAUAAAAUCGAGCAAUCAUUUAUAUAUGUAAGAAAUGAUAGGAAUAAAGUUUUAUAUCUUACUGAGAAUCCUUUGUAGUCAUGAGCUGGAUAUAGCAAUGUCUCUUUCGGUAAUGUAAAAAUCUGGAUCCAUGAAACAAAUAAGUCCAUAAAUUUUAUUCAAAUUUUGACAAUUACAAUAAAAUUUUGAGAACUCAAAGAAUGUGACCAUAAAAAGUCCCCUGUCCUUACCUGUGAAUGCACUGACUUGUAGAGUUGCUGUGAACUUCCACCCUGCAAAAUGCAUUAAUCAGUGCUAGUCAAUGGCUACUGAAUGUGGGAGCAUUAGAGAAAAUUAUCUUAAAAACUUAAGUAUAACAAAAUUAGACAAUGACAUCCAGAUGGAAAGAAAUUGCCAGCAUAUAAGACCAGCAUUUAUGUACUCACGACUGAAAAUCCUUUGCAAAAAGUAUAGCCCUGAUAGUUCAAACUUUUACUUCAAGGAUGAUUUAAUUACUGAUUAGUUUGCCAUGAGGCUUGUGAAUGACAAACACUUUAUGUGCAACCACAGUAACAAGGUAAGCACCAAUAAGUAGAAGACUAGACGAAUAGGUAACCAAGAGUUAGAGCUAAAACAGACAAACAGAGCUACUAUCCAAUGAGCUAAAACAUACAAACAGAGGUAUAUUUUAAUAAUGAAAAUAAUCGAUUGCCUUAAACACCAUAUAGUGUUCCAAUCAAUCAAAUUAUAGCAGGCAUUAAAACCUUUCCCUUUCGUUAAUUCACAACUAUUAGCUUCAUUAAUCAAAUCCUAUGUACAGUUGAUCGAUUGAAAGUGUAACAUUUCAAAGACGAAAUUUAAACGCAAAACUGGUUAACAUUGAAAUUACAUGUAAAUAUAACCUAAAAAAUCAAAAAAUUAAUCAUAUUUUCAGAUUUCAGGCCGAAAUGGAAUGAAAUGAAAGGUAAAUCCAUUUUUUCCCCAAAAAAACAAAAAUAAAGAAAUAAUAUUUCAAGAACAGAUCAUUAAAUUCAUGGUAUAUAUAAAGAAAUUUAAUUGAAAUCAAAGGAAUAGAAGAAGGGAAAAGCGUACUUGGAACCAUUGCUGCUACUCUCUGUUACUCUGUUACCUCAUACGAUUCGUUAAAGGGUUGUUAGGGUUUGUUAAAAGGUUGGUCAGGAUAGAAGCAUGAAAAGGAGGGAGAAGGUUGGAAGGAAAUGGGAAGAAAAAUGAAAAAAAGAAGAAGAUGCUGCAACGGCUUGGAGGGUAAAAGAGGACCGAUUAGGUAAUCCUUUCUUUUGGAAGGGAUUACAAAUCGGCGCUGCAUAAGGGAAAAUGGGGAAUCAGUGCGCUGCGUAAUAGGCCCGUAUUAAGGCAAUACAGCCAACCAAACAUGGUAAUCAGUGGGGCCACGAAUUAGGGGUGUAUUGGCUAAUCCAAUACACCCAACCAAACAUGCUCUAAAGGACAAAAAAAUUUGAUUUUUUAAAUAUUAUUUUCUCUCUAUUUUGCUAUCAUUUUACUAUUAUGUUGCUACUAUGUUAUUGUUAUUUUUGAAUAUUGUAUAAAACUUAUUUUAUUGUUAAUUUUGUUAUUAUUUUAAAGACAUUUGUUAAUUUUGUUAUUAUUUUAGAGACAUUUGUUUGUUAAGUUGCAUCUAUCUUAGUGUUAUUUAAGUAUACAUAUUUUUUAAAAUUUAUUUUCAAUUUAUUGGGAAAUAUUUAUUUUGAUGUUUUUAGUAUUUUGGAUGUAUUAUAUAUAUUAAAAUUAUAUAAAAAUUAAUAUGGCCGAGCCAGGUCAGGCCCAGAUUUUAGCAUUUUUAUUCAGGUCGGGCUUGAGCAAAAUUUUAAGCCCAUUUUUUGGGCCAAACCAGGCCUGGGCUUAGCAAAUGGGCCUAAAUUUUUAGUCAAGCUCGACCUAAACCCGAUCCGGCCCAUGCUCACCUCUAGAUCAGAGCUGCCCUCGCUUUGCAUUUCUUUGAGAUUCAGUCUUAUCUACUGUUGAUUGCCCACUCAAUGGAGGGUUGAGUAGAAAGAUUUGGUGAAGCAAGCUAAGCUAUCAAUCAAGGUUGGAGAAAGCUUAGGAGGUCACAAUGCAUAAUUAUUUAAAUGUAAUUCUAAUAUUUAAAUAAAAUUUAUUAAUAUAGUAUUAACAAGCCCUAAAUGUAAUGAUUAUAUACUAUUACAUUUUUAAGAAGAGAAAACAUGUUUGAACCUUAAAAACAUCAUUAUUAAAAAUGAUAAUUACAAAUUUUAAAAUAUAAAAAAUAUAAUUAAAAAUUAAUUUUAAACCCGAGCUGGAUAAAAUUCUAAUUUUAGAUAACGAUACUAAUAAGAAAUCAAUAUUAAAAUGAAAAUGAAAAGUAAUUUAAUAUAAUUUUUGAGUCUUGGGCAAAGGCACUCAAUGAAUGCUUGGAAAGAAAUAAUGCAACUUGGUGAUAGCUUUUGUUGGAGUAAUAUGCUCUUAUUAUAGUUUUAUGUUUUUAUCUUGCAAAAACAACAUAUUGGAGUUUUCGGCAUGAUUUUUUCUUAAUACUUUACAUGAAAAAUAAUAAUGGGACUUAAAUUGCUACAAUAUUACAACACAAAGUUACAAUAAGAGCUUAUAACUCAACAAAGGCUAUCAAUAAAUAAUCUCAGGCAAGCUAAAGAGAAAUGUUGAGAAUACCACCCGAAUAGUGACUGACUUUAAAAGUUGAAAACCCGAAGCUAUAUUAUCUCAAACGAAAUCAAACCAUAAACAUUAAAAUUUUCAAGUCUACUAGUUACUGUAAAAAAUUCAGCUCCAACAGACACCAAAUGAGCCUUUGAUCGAAGAAAGUACGAAAAAUAGUCUAGGUAAACCAAGCUUCCAAACUUACUUAUCUUAUCUUUAAUUUGCAGUGAAAUUCAAAAUUAAGAUUUUGUUUAUUUCACUUGGAACAACUUUCAAAAAAUUAUUUUUGAAAAAUGAAUUGGUUUUUCGAAAUAGAUGAUAUUUUAUUGUGUCAAAAUUUUAUUCAUUGUAGGAAAACUUUUUUUAAAUCAUUUUCUUAGAGUUAUUUUUAGUUAAAUAAACAUAACAUAAAUAUAUUUGUUACAAAAAAUUAUACUAGUAUUUUCUUUUGACAAUUAAAAUUUAUUUUAUGGUAAGACAAUAUUUUAUAAUAAUUAAUAUCAUAUAUAUACGUAAUAAAAAUCAUGUUUAAUUAAAAUUUAAUUAAAAUUAGAUGUAUUAAUAAAGCUACUCCUCCACAACCCGCAUCCGCAACAGCACCAGCACCAGCACCAGCACCAGCAUCAGCACCAUGGGACAACUAUUGGGUUUCCUCCACCUGCCUCUAUCGCUCCUCCUCAGUAUUACCCCCAAGCCUACCAGACCGUGCCGGGUAUUCUACAAAUAUGAAAAAACCUUCUUCUCUUUUUAUUAGCUUAUCGAAAUGAAGGAUUUUGAGAUUUGGGCUUUUGUUAGAUGGAUGGUUAAUGAUAUUUUUUAGAUGAAAGAUACAAGUUUUUUAAUGUUUUAGAAGAAAAGGUGUUUAAAUAUUAGGAGUUUUUUAGCAGAGAAAGAAGAUAAAUAAAUGCAUAGAGAUACAUUAGCAAUAUUAUUUGGAUUUGGUUGUCUAAUGUAAUGAAGAAUUUUUUAAGGGUGACCUGAGUAGGUGUGGCAAGAUUCAAAGUUUUUUCUAUUAUAGCAGAUAUAUAUAUAUUAAUGGUUUAAGAAGACUAGAAGUCGGUUUCAAAGGAAGAUGAGAAAUAAAAGCAUUUAUAUAUAUGAUAUGUCAUUAAUUCAUAAACCAAAUAUAUAAAGUAUGUAAAAGUGUCAGGGGUUAAUCAUGGUGUUUUGACAAUCCGGUAACCUUCAACUUGAAGAAAACCUUAGGUUUCAAAAAUUUAUGUGAAGAGUUAGAAUGGUAUGCUUCAUGGAUCUGAAUAACUAGAACAGUGUAAGAGUGGUAUAUUGUGUCAAGUUUGGUUUCUUGUAUAUAAUUGUAUCGAAAACAAUGUUACAUGAGUUAAAAUGAAUGUUCAUCCAAUUUAACAAAGCCUGCAUUAUGUUGAUCAAAAUUUUUAAUUCAUGUUGAGGUUUCUUCCGUGAUAUCUUUGAUGUCAAGGUUAUGAUGUUGCUGAAGGGACACCUGUAAGAGAUAAGCCACCGUGCUGUGGCAUUGGAUUCGGAUGGUUCUUGUAAGUGUACAUAGUUUUCUUUGUUUUUAAAGAGUUCUUUACAUAUGAAGUAAAACAAGUAGCGACUUGAUGGAUAUGUCAUUAAGCUUUAACUUAAGCAAAUCAUUUUCCUUCAUCUCUAAUUGCCAUUUCUUUAAAAGAAAAAGAGGAAGUUUUGUAGUUUACAGUUUGGACAAAUGGAAGUUAAUAUAAUGCACUAUUUGGAUGGACUAUGGAGAUAUCCAAUCAUAUUGGAUGAGUUAUAAGAAACCUGUGAGUUCAUAUUGGGUUUACUUUAUAUCAUAAUUAGAUUGUUGAGCUGGCUGUCAUACUUAGAUGGUAUUUCACGUUGCUACUUGUUAAACUAUACCACUUUCACAUUCAUACGUGAAAUGGCUGGGAUUUAGUGCCAUUCUACUUAGCAGCCUCGUGUAAUACACAGGUGAAAUGUUUAUGUCUUCAUGUCACCUUAAAGUUCCCAUUUCCAUGACGGUAUUGUUAAGUAAAGACUGGUACAUACCCCAAAAUACGGAAAUUGUUUUGGAUGUAUACUAUACUUUACCAUGCAUGAUUUUUUACAAGUUUGCAUGGUAUUUUAUCAUUAUAUUGGUCUUUAUUUUCUAUACUCGCAGCUUCCAUUAAUAUAUUUUUAUGAAUUUUAUCAUUAUGCUGGUUUGAAGGUUCAUCAUUGGUUUCUUCAUUGGGGGCCAUCCCUGGUAUAUUGGAUUCUUUGUUUUACUUUGUGCAAGGAUAGACGACAGAGAGAAAGCAGGAUAUAUUGCAUGCACAAUUGCCGUGAGUAUCUUUUCUAUCAUUAUUUUUUUCUUUUCCAAUUUUAUGAAAGCCAUCCUUCCUGCCUUGUAUUGAUCAUCAAUUUAACCAUUAUAUAUAUGUAUCUUAUGUAUUUGUACCAUGCUUUAUCUUCAAUGCAAAUAUAAGUUAAACUACAAAGAUUGGAUUGUUAAAAAAAGUUUAAAAUGUUAAAAAAAUUGAAAAUUUUGAUUUUGUAAGAAUGAUAGAAAACCAAGGCCAGUGCUUGCAUAUGUUAUCUACUACAUGCACAAUCGGGUCGAUGUCUGUAUAUGUUUCAUGUUUAGAAAUCGUGUUCAAUUGGGUUACGAUAUGUACAAUUGAAGUGUCAAUUUAUAAUUUCCUUAUCAAGAUUACACAUUUUUUUGUUAAUAUUCGGAAUCACUCAAUGGUUAUAAACCCUGAUUGGAUACUGUCCACAAAGUCUAGUUGGAACAUCCCUUGUAUUCUUUGUCCUUUCUAAGAACUUUCCUUUCCAUCAUUCUCGCUUCUGUUUUUUUUUUCUUCCCUCUACUUUAAGUCAUUAUCUAACGUAGAUAUCCCUUGUAUUCUUUGUCCUUUCUAUGGCAAUCGAGUCAAUUGAUGGCAAGCCAAAAAAACAAAAAGAGCAGCUAUCCUGUCUUACUCGAUUGCCAUCCCUCCUGUUAAACACCAUUAAGAAAAGGAAAAUUUUAGUUAAGCUUUAAAACAGCCAUGUUUUAACGAUGUUGGUGAUGGUGCUUGUGCAGGCCCUUCUUGCUACAAUUACAAUUAUUCUUAGUGCAACAAUUAAAGCUGGUGGGUGAUAAAGCACACCUCUUUUGACUGAGAGAUGUAUAGGUUCCCAAAUAAUAUGUAUAUGCUCCCCCCCCUCCCUUUAUUUUAUUUUAUUUCCAGUAAGUUAUUGUUUAUGAUAAUUUGCAACAAAUGUUUUUGUCAUUAUUUUGUUGGUGAAUGAUAAUAAGAUUAAGCUUUACUUUCUUAAGCUCCAAUUCCUUGGACGUUGGUGAUUUUUUUAUUAUAGUUGAGUCAUUGUAUGGUAUUAAUAUAAUUUAUGUCGCUUAAAAUUUAUAACUAAAAAUAUAAAAUUUAAAUUUUACUUCAAUUUAUUUGUAUUUAUAAAUGGUUAAUUCAAACUUAUUUUUUUCCUCAUUAUAUUUUAUAUUUAAAUUAACAUUUAAACUAUUUUUCAUUAGCAAUGUUGUUAAGAAUUAUAUUUUUUAGCACCAACAUCAAACUUACUAAAAUUAAAUUUUUAACUAUUUAAAAAAAAUAUUUUUAGCUAUUUAUCAUCAUAGAGAAAAAAAGGUGACGUCACCACGCCUCAUGCUUCGACACCACAAACUAGACUCUCAUCACCCGUAUUUAUCAUCGAUUCAAAUUCCAGAACUACCUAAAAAUAUAUCUUCAAACUUCCUCUGGUUAAGUUCAUUGAUAGUCAACUUACUAUCAUUUCUAAAAAAAAAACAAAUAAAUUGGUUAAUAGUAAUCUCAAUGAUUCAAUUUUAUUCUUACCAGUAUCUGUCCUUUAGAAAGGGGCUUAUAAAAGGGGUAGAGGUGAGUAAACUUGAGCUUCAGCUUUCCACAAACACCUUAAUUUGAAGACACAGUUCUCUCAUACUAAAAAAGACAUGGAAGUUUACCUUGUAAUUAGAGAUUUGGUUUCAUUGCUUGUUGUUGGGUUAUUAAUGAUAUGGGGAUGCAGAACUUUAAACUGGGUAUGGCUGGCCCCAAAAAGGCUCGAAAGCUGCUUGAGACAACAGGGUUUUGCAGGGAAUCCUUACAGGUUCCUUUCUGGUGACAUAAAAGAGCUCUCAACUAUGAGCAGACAAACAAGAGCCAAACCUAUGCCUCUUAGUGAUGAUAUUGGGCCUUAUGUUGUUCCUUUUCAACAUCAAACUGCUAACCAGUAUGGUAUGUUUUUUUUGUUUAAUCUGCAAUUUAUGAUAAUUCUUUGUUAUUUAUGUAUGGAAUUUAUUGGGAGGAAAUGCAGGAAAGAAUUCAUUUACGUGGUUUGGUCCAAGACCAAGGGUGAACAUUACGGACCCUGAAAAAAUAAGAGAAAUACUUAACAAAUUUAAUGACUUCCAGAAGAUACAUACCAAUCCACUGCUUAAUUUGCUUGUAAGCGGCCUUGCUAACCUCGACGGAGACCGAUGGAGCAAGCGUAGAAAAAUCAUAAACCCUGCAUUUCAUCAAGAUAAGUUGAAGGUAUAGAAUAGUGAUGGGUAAUCAGACUUUACAGAAAACAUCAUACUUAAACCUAUGCUUUUCUGAUUUAGAAAUAAUUGGAUGCAGAAUAUGUUGCCAGCAUUUUAUCAAAGUUGUAGUGACAUGUUAAGCAAAUGGGAGAAGAUGGUGUGUACAAAAGGAUACAGUGAGUUAGAUGUGUGGCCUUAUCUCGUAGAUUUGACAAGAGAUGUGAUUUCCCGAUCUGCUUUUGGAAGCAGCUUCGAAGAAGGCAAACGAAUUUUCCAAUUACUAGAGGACCAACUCGUUCACAUAAUCAAAUUAAUACAAACUGUUUACAUUCCAGGAUGGAGGUAACCGUCAACUUAAUUUACUUGAAAAAGGUUGCAAAUGUUGGAAUUCGCUAAAUUCGUGUUUGUUUUCUUGAAGGUUUUUGCCAACGAAGACAAACAGGGAGAUGAAGAUGAAACACAGGGACAUAAAAGAGUUGCUUAUGGAAAUGAUAAAGAGAAGGGAGAAGGCAAUUAAAGCAGGGGAAGAGAGCAAUGAGGACUUGUUGGACAUACUUGUGGAAUCCAAUAUCAGAGAAAUGGAAGCAAAGAAUAUUGGGAUGAGCAUUGAGGAUGUGAUUGAGGAAUGCAAGCUGUUUUACUUAGCUGGCCAAGAGACCACUUCGGUCUUACUGGUGUGGACUAUGGUUUUAUUAGCAAGGUAUCCCGAUUGGCAAAGUAAAGCAAGAGAGGAGGUUUUGCAUGUUUUGGGUGACAGUAAACCUGACGCUGAUGGCCUUAAUCGUCUCAAAGUUGUAAGUCCCUAGCAUGUCUUUUGAAGGUCCGAUCAAUGAGGUCGACAACUCAAAAACUUUGUUUCUUUUUUCGCUAAUUCUACAGGUAACAAUGAUAUUGUACGAGGUUCUAAGGCUGUACCCACCGGUGGUUGAGCUAGAACGUUCCGUUCCAAAAGAAAUAAAACUGGGGAAUUUGUUGUUACCAGUAGGAACAGAAGUUUCGGUUCCGAUCCUGCUGAUCCACCAUGACAAAGAUCUUUGGGGCGAUGACGCACGGGAAUUUAAGCCAGAGCGGUUCGCGGAAGGGGUUUCCAAAGCAACAAAGAGUCAAGUCACGUUUCUGCCAUUCGGAUGGGGUCCUAGGAUCUGUAUUGGCCAAAAUUUUGCUAUGAUGGAAGCCAAAAUGGCGAUGGCUAUGAUUCUCCAACGCUUCUGGUUCGAGCUUUCCCCUUCCUAUGCUCACUCUCCUUACGGCAGGGCAACUCUUCGUCCACAGCAUGGUGCACAGAUAAUUUUACAUAAACUUGGCUGUAAUUGAAUUGUUAUGUAAACAAAUCUUUGUGAAAACAUAGCGUUUUAGUUUAUCGUCAAAGUCCGGUGUCUGUAAUGGUACAAAUUCGAUGCAUGAAUAGUAAAGUUUGAGAUGUUUGGUGAAGUCCGAAAUAAUAUGCAGAAAUUGAGUGUGGUAAUUAUCAAUCAAAUAAUUCGGUACAAAGACUUACAUGGAAAUUAAAGCAGGGGGAGUUGAAAAUGACUACUCUGCUUUGGGCAUCAAUUUAGAAAGAUUUAAAGUACAAAUGUGUUAUUAGUUAAGGGAUUUGUUUUAAAGAGGGAAUGACAAUUAAACCUCAUGGUUGAUUUGUGGAAGGGAACCGAUGAUGGGAUGAUUAUUCUUAGUGGUAAAAAAAACUAUUGUGGAGGUUAUUAUACUUGUUAUCAUCGGCUUAAAAUUCGAAUGGGUUCAAGUCGGAUUAUAUCGAGCUUGUAAGAUGAGUUCACGGAUCAAAUUUGCAUAAUAAAAAUACUUAAAUGAAAAAAAUUUCUAUUUUAGAGGGACCAGAGCCCCUACCAAUUCCCGGCUCAGCUACUAAACAAUACCCAUAUCAUAUAAAUAAAUACCACCAUAAAAAAAACUCAAAGAAAAACACUGACAAAUGAUAAAUAGAUAGAUGUUGGAUAAGUGUCCAAAAUAUGAUUUAAGUGAAGAUACAUGGGGUAGGUGUCACGGAAAUGUGAAUACAAGAAUACUACUAAUGGGAUGUGUACAGUUGAAUGUAGGGAGCAAAAAGAGGAGUGAAUCAUUUUGGUAACAUUGGGACAAGAAACAUAAUGAACAAAAUGGAAGGAGAGGAAGCUAGUAAAAGAAAUUUUUUGGGUCAUAUAAUUUGUUUGGCAUAUAUUUUUAUAAUUUUUAAAUAUCAUUUUGGACUUGAAUUAUAAUUUUUUUAUAUAUUAUCUUAAAAUUGUAUAAAUUUUAAGGAGUUAAAACAAAAUUAUUCUAUUUUUAGAUGGUUAAAGUAGAGAUGAUAAUGGGUUGAGCUAUUCGGCCCAGCCUGACGAUCCACCCGAAAAAUAGGAAGGUUUGGGUAAAAAUAUAGGCUUGAAAUAUGAAUUUGAGCAAAAAAAGAGGCCCGUUUAGAAAAUGGGCCGAGCCUCGGGUAAAACCUUUUGGGUCUAGACCUGACCUAAAUUAUAUAUUAAAUAUAUAUAUUUUUAUUUUUAAUCAAAUAUACUUUUGUUUUAUUAUUAAUUUGGUUAUUAUUUUAGUUCUAAUUUGUUUCAAUUUUAAUAUAACUACUUUUUAUUAUAUUUUCAAUUUGUGCAUUGUUUUAAGAAUUAUUUUAGUCUCAUUAUUUAUUUAUUUUUUAUUUUAAUAUUUGUUUUAAAAUUUUUUAUUUAUUGAAAUAAGCUAAAAAAAUUAAUAUGGGUUGGACCAGACCGGGCUCGGGCCUAGUAAUUUUCUUUUGGGCCGGACUUAAACAAAUUUUUAAGCCCAUAUUUUGAAUUGGGUCCUACACUAGAAAAUGGACCUAAAAUUUUGUAUUACCUUUAGGUCAGAGCUAUCCUCGUUUUGCAUUUCUUUGAGAUUCAGCCUUAUUUACUUUUGAUUGCCCACUCAAUAGAGGGUUGAGUAGAAAUAUUUGGUGAAGCAAGCUAAGCUAUCAAUCAAGGUGUGCAUAAUUAUUUAAAUGUAAUUCUAAUAUUAAAAUAAAAUUUUUAUUAAUAUAGUAUCAACAAGCAUUAAAUGUAAUCAUCAUAUACUAUUAAAUUUUCAAUAAGAGAAAACAAGCUUGAACUUUAAAAACGAUGUUACUAAAAACAUUAUCACAAAUCUUGAAAUAUAAAAAAUACUUUUUAAUAUAAUAAAAAAAUAAUUUUAAAACCGAGAUGAAUAAAAUUCUAAUUUUAAUUAAUGAUACCAACAACAAAUCAAUAUUUAAAUUAAAAUUUAUCUUAAUUUAAUAUAAUAAAAUUGGACUUGAAUAUUGAAUUUUUGAGUCUUGGGCAAAGUAGAGGUGCUCAUGGGCCGGGUUGGGUCGGGUUUGGGAAAAAUUUCGGCCCGCAUCCUAGGCUCGGGCUCGGCCCGACCCAAAUAUGGGCCUAAAAUUUUGUCUAGGCCUAGCCCGGCCCGGCCCAACUCAUUUUUUUUAAUAAACACCAAAAAUUUAUUUUGAAAAUAAAAAAAUAAAAAAAGUAUUUUAAAAAUAUUUUAAAAUUUUUAAAAAAUAUAUAUAUUUAUUAUAUAUUCGGGCCGGGCCAGGCCCGAGCCAAAAAAGUGGCGCCCAAGGCCCGGCCUGUUUUCUAAACGGGACUCAUUUUUUACCCAAACCCAUAUUUCGGGCCUAUAUUUCUACCCGAAUCUCUCAUAUUUAGGGCGAACCGUCGGGCCGGACCGGGCCGCCCGGCCAUGAACACCUCUAGGACAAAGUCACUCAAUGAAUGCAUGGAAAGAAAUAAUGCAACUUGGUGAUAGCUUUUGUUGGAGUUAUAUGCUUUUUUUUUACGUAGUGGAACUUUCGGUGGAUUUUCAAGUUUCAUGAACUUUAUACUCUAUGCUUUACGUGAAAAAAAAAAUUCAUUGGACUUAAAAGUCUACCAAAAGUUUCACUAAAAAAAAAACCAUUGCUACAAGAUUACAACAUAAAGUUACAAUAAGAGCUUAUAACUCAACAAAGGCUAUCAAUAAAUAAUCUCAAACAAAUUAAAGAGAAAUGUUGAGAGUACCACUCGAAUAGUGAUUAACUUUAAAAAUUGAAAACCCAAAGUUAUAAUAUCCCAAACGAAAUCAAACCAUAAACAUUAAAUUUUUCGAGUCUACUAGAUACUGCAAAAAAUUCAGCUCCAACAGACACCAAAUGAACCUAUGAUCGAAGAAAAUACGAAAACUAGUCUAGCUAAAUCAAGCUGCCAAACUUACUUUUUAUCUUAUCUUUAAUUUGCUGUGAAAUUCAAAACUAAGGUUUUGUACUUAGAACAACUUUCAAAAAGUUAAUUUUGAAAAAUGGAUUGAAUUUUCAAAAUAGAUGAUAUUUUAUUGUGUUAAAAUUUUAUUCGUUGUUUGAAAAAAAAUUUAAAUCAUUUUCUUAGAAUUAUUUUUAGUGAAACAAACAUAUCAUAAAUAUAUUUGUUAUAAAAUAUUUAUAUUAAUAUUUUCUUUUAACAAUUAAAAUAUAUUUUGUGAUAAGGUAUAUUUUAUAAUAAUUAAUAUCAUAUAUACUUAAUAAUAAAUCAUGUCUAAUUAAAAUUUAAUUUCAAUUAAAUAUAUUAAUAAAGCUACAUAUAAUCAUAUUUUAUAUAAUAAAAAUAUUAAUAUAAAUAUUUUUUUAAUAAUAUAUUAAAGAAUAUUUAAAAUUUAAAUUUAUUAUUACUAAGAUUAAUUAUUAAAAUAAAAAUGUAAUGUUAAAUAAUUUAUCCAAUGAUAAGUUAUAUUAAUAAUUUAUUAUAUUAUUAAAUAUAAAUAAUUAAAUAUGUAUGUUUAAUAAUAUUAUGUUAUAAUAUUUAUUAUUAAUAUUUUAAUAUUUUUAAACAACCAUGUUUUAAAGAUGGUGGUGAUGGUGAUGGUGCAGGCCCCCUUGUUACAAUUACAAUAUUUUUAAGUGGGAUGCAUGUAAUAUAUUGUUAGGGUUUUAGAGUGUGUGGUCUUUAAAAGGGUUAAAUUAUAUAUUUAUAUAAUAUGAUUAUUGUUUAUAAAUAUAAUAUUGUAGAUAAACUUUUAUGCAUGUCAAUAUGUAUCCUACUCUGGGGUUAAUAUGUAUUUUUAGAUAUGGAUUCACCUAUAUAAUAGUAUGAAUCCAUCAUGCGGUCUCAUGAAAUAUACAAACACAUAUCGUGCGAACACAAAGUACGAACAAUAAAAAGUACAAAUCAAGACCAAUUGAGUAAUUGAAUAGCAGAUAGGUAAUAAUGACUAUCCCCUCUUGUUUGAAUUUAUUUUAUUUCCAGUGAGUUAUCGUUUAUGAUAAAUUUACAACAAAUGUUUUUAUCAUUAUUUUGUUGGUAAAUGAUAAUAAGAUUAAACUUUACUUUCUUAAGCUCCUUCAAUUCUUUGGACGUUAGCAAGUAAACUUGAGCUUCAGCAUUCCACAAACACCUUAAUUUGAAGACACAGUUCUCCCAUACUAAAAACAACAUGGACGUUUACCUUGUAAUUAGAGAUUUGGGCUCAUUGUUAGGUUAUUAAUGAUACGGGGAUGGAGAGCUUUAAACUGGGUAUGGCUGGCCCCAAAGAGGCUCGAAACGUGCUUGAGACUAGAGGUCCAGGCAAAUUUUUAGGCCCAUUUUUUAGGCCUGGACUGGGCCCGACUCGAAAUAUGAGCUUAAAAAUUUGUCUAAGUUCGGUCCAAAAGAAAAUUGUUAAGCCUAAGCCCGGCCCAUAUUAAAUUUUACAACACCAAAAAACUAUAUAUUUAAUAUAUAUAUUUGAUUAAAAAGUAUAUUUAAUUAAAAAUAAAAAUAUAUAUUUAAUAUAUAAUUCGGGCCGGGCCGAACUCGGGCCAAAAAAGUUUUACUCGGGGCUGGUCCGUUUUCUAAACAGACCUCGUUUUUUUGUCAAAAUCCAUAUUUUAGGCUUAUAUUUUUACCCGAAACUUCCUAUUUUUCGGGUGAACCGUCAGGCCGGACUAGGUAGCCCAACCAAUGAUCACCUCUACUUGAGACAACAGGGUUUUGCAGGGAAUUCUUACAGGUUCGUUUCUGGCGACAUAAAAGAGCUCUUCACUAUAAGCAUACAAACAAGAGCCAAACCUAUGCCUCUUAGUGAUGAUAUUGGGCCUUAUGUUGUUCCUUUUCAACAUCAAACCGUCAAUCAGUAUGGUAUGUUUUUUAAUUUAAUCUGCAAUUUAUGAUAAUUCUUUGCUAUUUAUGUAUGGAAUUUAUUGGGAGGAAAUGCUGGGAAGAAUUCAUUUACGUGGAUUGGUCCAAGAUCAAGGGUGAACAUUACGGACCCGGAAAAAUAAGAGAAAUACUUAACAAAUUUAAUGACUUCCAGAAGGUACGUACCAAUCCACUGCUUAAUUUGCUUGUAAGCGGCCUUGUUAACCUCGAAGGAGACCGAUGGAGCAAGCAUAGAAAAAUCAUAACC
Molecule: long non-coding RNA, 34364 nt
Filed under: Gossypium barbadense (sea-island cotton)
Lineage: Eukaryota; Viridiplantae; Streptophyta; Magnoliopsida; Malvales; Malvaceae
Description: long non-coding RNA (GBAR_LNC013164)
Source: RNAcentral